RNAcentral lists this unclassified non-coding RNA (258 nucleotides) under soil metagenome. Its description in RNAcentral is "partial contains small subunit ribosomal RNA, internal transcribed spacer 1, and 5.8S ribosomal RNA". The record is from RNAcentral.
UUUCCGUAGGUGAACCUGCGGAAGGAUCAUUAACAAAUCCAAAACACGCGUGUUGGAUCAAGUGACAGACGAGUGCAAGUUGGUCGAGUGAACGGUGUGUCCCCAUGUUGGGCCAUGCUAUCGACUUUAUAUGAGCCUUGUCACCACGUUGCUUGAUCUAUUCAUAACACACACAACACUCACUUUACCAUUUGACAACCAAGAGUAACCUAAAACGUUAAAUCGAAACAACUUUUAACAAUGGAUCUCUCGGCUCUU